RNAcentral lists this unclassified non-coding RNA (299 nucleotides) under Hevea brasiliensis (rubber tree). Lineage: Eukaryota; Viridiplantae; Streptophyta; Magnoliopsida; Malpighiales; Euphorbiaceae. The record is from RNAcentral.
GGAGGUAAGUUCCUAUCAUAAUUUUGUUGGAAAUGCAUUAUCUGAAAUAUCCUAAUGUGCAAAAUUCAUCUUUAUAGUUAGUAACAGAAGAAAUUGGAUGGCUUGAUUUUUAUGCCACCUGUUUUCCUCUGAGCAAUCAAGAAAGGAAAAGAUCAAAGCAGCAUCCAAUUCAAGCAGAGAAAGAGAUUAUCCUAUCCACAGUAUUUACUGUUGGUUAUGAUGUUUUCUCUGGCUUUGCUCACUUCAGCCGUUCAACUCAACAGCCUUUAGAUGCAAAAUCACUGAAAUUUUUGCUGCAA